Molecule: ribosomal RNA, 484 nt
Filed under: uncultured bacterium
Lineage: Bacteria
Description: bacterial SSU rRNA
Rfam family: Bacterial small subunit ribosomal RNA
Source: RNAcentral
AUUGAACGCUGGCGGCAUGCCUUACACAUGCAAGUCGAACGGCAGCACGGGAGCAAUCCUGGUGGCGAGUGGCGAACGGGUGAGUAAUAUAUCGGAACGUGCCCAGUCGUGGGGGAUAACGUAGCGAAAGCUACGCUAAUACCGCAUACGAUCUACGGAUGAAAGCGGGGGAUCGCAAGACCUCGCGCGAUUGGAGCGGCCGAUAUCAGAUUAGCUAGUUGGUGGGGUAAAAGCCCACCAAGGCGACGAUCUGUAGCUGGUCUGAGAGGACGACCAGCCACACUGGAACUGAGACACGGUCCAGACUCCUACGGGAGGCAGCAGUGGGGAAUUUUGGACAAUGGGCGCAAGCCUGAUCCAGCAAUGCCGCGUGCAGGAUGAAGGCCUUCGGGUUGUAAACUGCUUUUGUACGGAACGAAACGGUGAGCUCUAAUAAAGCUUGCUAAUGACGGUACCGUAAGAAUAAGCACCGGCUAACUACGUG